Molecule: ribosomal RNA, 451 nt
Filed under: uncultured bacterium
Lineage: Bacteria
Description: partial 16S ribosomal RNA
Rfam family: Bacterial small subunit ribosomal RNA
Source: RNAcentral
AGCGAACGCUGGCGGCAUGCCUAACACAUGCAAGUCGCACGGGGGGGCUUCGGCCUCCCAGUGGCGGACGGGUGAGGAACGCGUAGGGACCUGUCGAGGGGUGGGGGAUAACCGCGGGAAACUGCGGCUAAUACCGCAUGACGCCGCGGCGUGACAGCCGGGGCCAAAGGCGAAAGCCGCCCGCCGAGGGGCCUGCGUCCGAUUAGCUGGUUGGCGGGGUAGCGGCCCACCAAGGCGUCGAUCGGUAGCUGGUCUGAGAGGGUGAUCAGCCACACCGGGACUGAGACACGGCCCGGACUCCUACGGGAAGCAGCAGUGGGGAAUAUUGGACAAUGGGCGCAAGCCUGAUCCAGCAAGGCCGCGUGGGUGAAGAAGGUCUUCGGAUUGUAAAGCCCUUUCGGUGGGGACGAUGGUGACGGUACCCGCAGAAGAAGCCCCGGCUAACUUCGUG